UGAGUAACCUGCCCUUAACUCUGGGAUAAGCCUGGGAAACUGGGUCUAAUACCGGAUAUGACUCCUCAUCGCAUGGUGGGGGGUGGAAAGCUUUUUGUGGUUUUGGAUGGACUCGCGGCCUAUCAGCUUGUUGGUGAGGUAAUGGCUCACCAAGGCGACGACGGGUAGCCGGCCUGAGAGGGUGACCGGCCACACUGGGACUGAGACACGGCCAGACUCCUACGGGAGGCAG
Molecule: ribosomal RNA, 232 nt
Filed under: uncultured bacterium
Lineage: Bacteria
Description: partial 16S ribosomal RNA
Rfam family: Bacterial small subunit ribosomal RNA
Source: RNAcentral